Rhopalosiphum maidis (corn leaf aphid) is the source of this 1209-nucleotide long non-coding RNA. RefSeq lists it as uncharacterized. The transcript is spliced from 2 exons. Lineage: Eukaryota; Metazoa; Arthropoda; Insecta; Hemiptera; Aphididae. The record is from RefSeq and is a predicted model, not a curated record.
GAUCAACAAACUUUCUUAUAAGUAGAGACUGGAUUUUUAUGUGCUUAUAUAUUUUUACUAAGAGUAUGCAGUUUCAAUAGGAUUAGCUUUCUUGAAAAUUGAUUUUCCUAUGAAUUUAUGUGCAAAAUUUGUUAGUGCAUAAAAAAAUUUAAUUAUUUGCAUGAGCUCUAAUUUCAUGUUUUUUAGAUUAUCAAAAAUGUAAGUAGAAUUUAUUUUAAAUAAAAUUGGUGUUUAUUUGACUCGAACCACCAAUAAGAUUAAAGUAAUAUCCGCGAAUCAUCAACUCCUAACUACUUUAAAUUAGUUUAAUUAUGGUGCUAAGCAAUACAGGAUAGAUGCUAUCAUAGCAUAUCUACAUCUUCUGUCAAUAUAUAUAUAUGUAUUUAAAGAGUAGUUAAUAACUUAAUAUUGUAACGCAUGUGUUUAGUGUAACUAUAAAAUGUUCAAUCAAUACUACAUAAUUGUAAAACAUUUUUUUUUUUUUAAAAAGAGGGGGGUUUCCUUUGGUAGCUGAAUGUAUCAAUGGGACUCUAAUAAUAACACAUUUAUUGAACACGUAGAAUAGUACCUAAAUAAAAACAAAAAUUAUUUCAUAAAUUUAAGAAUAAUGUGUGGGCAAAACCAUAUAUAGUACAACCAAGUUAAGACGAUUACCAGUUUGGGGUGAUUAAUCGGUUUUAUUGCAUUUUAACUGAUCUAUAUAAUUAUACAGUUAAUGCAAACUAGUCAGAAAGUGUCCAUUAUUCAAAAGUUUUAAGAAAUACAGAUAUAUUUUAUAAAUUUGAAAGAGGUAAUAGCGCAUUCAAUAACUUAUUCCUCCUCUACAUUAAAAAUCUGGUAUGACAAUAAUUGCAUAUUUAGUAUUCCGCUAUAUAGCAUAAACUAUAGACAGAAAUCAAGAAGUGUAUGAAAAUUCAAAGGAGAUUAAAGAAUUUAUUGAUUAGUCCAGGGCUCUGAAGUUAUUGAACUAAAAGUGUAUGUUUUAUCACUUUAAUGUACACCUAAAAACACCAAAAUAAAUGAGAAAAAUUGAAUAUGGUAGUAGGUAUUUAGGAUCUAUUGGUCAGCUCUGGAAUGUAAAUAUGAUGAAUCCGAUCAGCGACAGAUUGGCUAAACAAUUCGGGCCGGGAAAUUUCUGUGUAACAAGCUCACCCAAUAUAUUAUAAUAAUCAUAUUUUUUAUUAUUUAAUAUAUUAUACGUAUAAUAUA